Molecule: transfer RNA, 73 nt
Filed under: Stegodyphus mimosarum
Lineage: Eukaryota; Metazoa; Arthropoda; Arachnida; Araneae; Eresidae
Rfam family: tRNA
About the family: Transfer RNA (tRNA) molecules are approximately 80 nucleotides in length.
Source: Rfam by way of RNAcentral
GCCUUCGUGGUGUAGUGGUCAGCACGCUCGACGCGUAACCGAGAGAUCCGUGGUUCGAUUCCCGGAGAAGGCG